Molecule: ribosomal RNA, 381 nt
Filed under: Triticum aestivum (bread wheat)
Lineage: Eukaryota; Viridiplantae; Streptophyta; Magnoliopsida; Poales; Poaceae
Description: partial small subunit ribosomal RNA
Source: RNAcentral
AUGGAUAGCUUAUUUGCUUCGUUGUAUAUACUUUGUAGUUUCAAUGAUGAGGCAUAUAUGUCAACUCUGGAUGUUGGCUCCAACAAUUCACAUUGGUCUGAAACCAAUGAGAUGCAUUUCGAUGAUCAUGAGUUUGAGGUGGACGAGGAUGGUGAGGGCAUCAUCGAUGCACCGAAAGGAAGAGGGGGCAACUACACCAUGGAUGAAGACAUCUUGAUAUGCAAUACUUGGUUGCAAGUGUUGAGGGAUCCCUCCGUUGGAGGGGAUCAAAGUAGAGAUGCAUAUUGGCUCCGGAUGAAGGAGCACUUUGAUCUACACAAAAAAGUGGAAUUGACCGCUUCGGAAGAUCUCCCCGUGGUCGACAAUCAACCGAGAUUGUGA